GGUCCCAUAGUAUAGUGGUUAGUACACUGGACUUUGAAUCCAGUAACCUGGGUUCAAAUCCCGGUGGGACCU
RNAcentral lists this transfer RNA (72 nucleotides) under Klebsormidium nitens. Its description in RNAcentral is "tRNA-Gln (TTG) (tRNA-Gln-TTG-1-1)". It matches the Rfam family "tRNA". From Rfam's summary of the family: Transfer RNA (tRNA) molecules are approximately 80 nucleotides in length. Their secondary structure includes four short double-helical elements and three loops (D, anti-codon, and T loops). Lineage: Eukaryota; Viridiplantae; Streptophyta; Klebsormidiophyceae; Klebsormidiales; Klebsormidiaceae. The record is from Rfam by way of RNAcentral.